Molecule: ribosomal RNA, 376 nt
Filed under: uncultured bacterium
Lineage: Bacteria
Description: bacterial SSU rRNA
Rfam family: Bacterial small subunit ribosomal RNA
Source: RNAcentral
CAAGCGGGGAAUAGCCCAGAGAAAUUUGGAUUAAUACCCCAUAAUAUAUUUGAUAAGGCAUCUUAUUAAUAUUAAAGCUUCGGCACUUGAUGAUGGGUGUGCGGCUGAUUAGAUAGUUGGCGGGUAACGGCCCACCAAGUCUACGAUCAGUAGCUGAUGUGAGAGCAUGAUCAGCCACACGGGCACUGAGACACGGGCCCGACUCCUACGGGAGGCAGCAGUAAGGAAUAUUGGACAAUGGACGAAAGUCUGAUCCAGCCAUGCCGCGUGAAGGAUUAAGGUCCUCUGGAUUGUAAACUUCUUUUAUAUGGGACGAAAAAAGGGCAUUCUUGUUCACUUGACGGUACCAUAUGAAUAAGCACCGGCUAACUCCGUG